GAUUAAGUUAUUAAGGGCGCACGGUGGAUGCCUUGGCACUAGAAGCCGAUGAAGGACGUUACUAACGACGAUAUGCUUUGGGUAGCUGUAAGUAAGCGUUGAUCCAGAGAUUUCCGAAUG
Molecule: ribosomal RNA, 120 nt
Filed under: Neisseria gonorrhoeae
Lineage: Bacteria; Pseudomonadati; Pseudomonadota; Betaproteobacteria; Neisseriales; Neisseriaceae
Also listed under: 2 other names
Description: partial 23S ribosomal RNA
Rfam family: Bacterial large subunit ribosomal RNA
Source: RNAcentral